GGUACUUGUGUGUGUUUGUCUUAGCCUGUGGACUAAAAUUUAAUAGGUGCAAAAACUAAAUUCUCUUUUGCAACACAUAACUCAUUGUUCUGAUGAGCUUUGAUACAUAUAAGAAGGAAUACC
Cavia aperea (Brazilian guinea pig) is the source of this 123-nucleotide small nucleolar RNA. The record is from Ensembl. NCBI's taxonomy places the organism in Eukaryota, Metazoa, Chordata, Mammalia, Rodentia, Caviidae.